RNAcentral lists this ribosomal RNA (742 nucleotides) under uncultured bacterium. Its description in RNAcentral is "bacterial SSU rRNA". It matches the Rfam family "Bacterial small subunit ribosomal RNA", at positions 94 to 823 of the family's 1533-position model. The record is from RNAcentral.
AGCGGCGGACGGGUGAGUAACACGUGGGUAACCUGCCCAAGAGACUGGGAUAACACCUGGAAACAGAUGCUAAUACCGGAUAACAACACUAGACGCAUGUCUAGAGUUUGAAAGAUGGUUCUGCUAUCACUCUUGGAUGGACCUGCGGUGCAUUAGCUAGUUGGUAAGGUAACGGCUUACCAAGGCAACGAUGCAUAGCCGAGUUGAGAGACUGAUCGGUCACAUUGGGACUGAGACACGGCACAAACUCCUACGGGAGGCAGCAGUAGGGAAUCUUCCACAAUGGACGAAAGUCUGAUGGAGCAACGCCGCGUGAGUGAAGAAGGGUUUCGGCUCGUAAAGCUCUGUUGGUAGUGAAGAAAGAUAGAGGUAGUAACUGGCCUUUAUUUGACGGUAAUUACUUAGAAAGUCACGGCUAACUACGUGCCAGCAGCCGCGGUAAUACGUAGGUGGCAAGCGUUGUCCGGAUUUAUUGGGCGUAAAGCGAGUGCAGGCGGUUCAAUAAGUCUGAUGUGAAAGCCUACGGCUCAACCGGAGAAUUGCAUCAGAAACUGUUGAACUUGAGUGCAGAAGAGGAGAGUGGAACUCCAUGUGUAGCGGUGGAAUGCGUAGAUAUAUGGAAGAACACCAGUGGCGAACGCGGCUCUCUGGUCUGCAACUGACGCUGAGGCUCGAAAGCAUGGGUAGCGAACAGGAUUAGAUACCCUGGUAGUCCAUGCCGUAAACGAUGAGUGCUAAGUGU